Molecule: long non-coding RNA, 326 nt
Filed under: Mus spicilegus (steppe mouse)
Lineage: Eukaryota; Metazoa; Chordata; Mammalia; Rodentia; Muridae
Description: lncRNA (ENSMSIG00000020101.1)
Source: RNAcentral
CUCCUGCCUCCUAGGCUGCACUACAGCGGAUCAGAGGGAUCCUCUCUAACGCUAACAGAGAAAAGCUGACCCCUCCUUCUCUCCUCCUCCUCCUAAGCUGUGAGUCUGUGGGCCUGGCCAGAUUGCUGGAAUGAGGAGGCCCCUCUGUGGCCUGCAAUGGAGUUUACCCACCUGGGAAAAUUCACUUAUAUUUCCUCUGGACAUCAGUCACGGGGACCACAAGAGGCUGAGCAUCGCAAAUAAGGAAGUGGAAUCCCAGAAUCCGUGCCAGAGUGCAGAAAACUGACCUGCGUUUUCAUCAGAAACUGGUGAAGAGUCAAAAUGAG